RNAcentral lists this ribosomal RNA (253 nucleotides) under uncultured bacterium. RNAcentral's name for it is "partial 16S ribosomal RNA". It matches the Rfam family "Bacterial small subunit ribosomal RNA", at positions 524 to 776 of the family's 1533-position model. The record is from RNAcentral.
UACGAAGGUCCCAAGCGUUGUUCGGAAUUACUGGGCGUAAAGGGAGCGUAGGCUGUGGGGCAAGUCGGGUGUGAAAUCCCGGGGCUCAACCCCGGAACUGCACUCGAUACUGCUUUACUAGAGGACUGGAGAGGAGAUUGGAAUUCUCGGUGUAGCAGUGAAAUGCGUAGAUAUCGAGAGGAACACCUGUGGCGAAGGCGGCUCUCUGGGACGGUACUGACGCUGAGACGCGAAAGCGUGGGUAGCAAACAGG